Pseudopipra pipra is the source of this 1250-nucleotide long non-coding RNA. RefSeq lists it as uncharacterized. Lineage: Eukaryota; Metazoa; Chordata; Aves; Passeriformes; Pipridae. The transcript has 2 exons. The record is from RefSeq and is a predicted model, not a curated record.
CCUUGGGAGGCAGUGCUGGAGAGGCCCCUCUGUUGGCUGUAGUGGUGGAAGGUUGUAGCAGCAGGGAUGGAGCCUUCGACCUCCUGCUCCCCCCGUGAGCCCCGACGGGACCGUGCCCUUGGCAAUGGAGGGCCCCCCAUUGCUGAGCCAGCGGUUCCGGGGGCCAGGAGGGAUGGGAUCAGGAUGCCGAGCUCCGCCCAGGGCCAGGGCUGCCAAUGUUCAACCAUGGAGAGAACUGAAAGCAGAGUGAGAUGGAAGCCAAGCUGCAGCACAGGGGUGGGCGAGAAAAGACCCUGGUCCUCAGGUGGAGCUUUGAAUUCCCUGGAAAAAUGGAUCCUGUCAGAUGGUUCAGGCCCUUGUGGAUGCUGGAGCAGAGGCCUCUGUAAUUUAUGGUCACCCUAAAAAGUUGCAAGGAGAGCAAGUUCUGACUGCAGGAUGAGGUGGGAAACAAAGUGCAGUGGUCCAGAGAAAAGCUGAGCUUAAAAUUGGUCCUGUGCCAGAGCAGCCUCGUGCAGUGCUUGUUGCUGUCCCUGAGUGUCCCAUUGCAGUGGAUAUUCCCAAGGGUGCCUUGUGCUGGGGAACACUGGGGGCAGUUCCCUUUCCCUGGGCAGGGCAGGCAGGGCACGUUUCCCCCCUCGAGGGUGGCUCCACAGUCCCACCCUCUGCCCUGGGAGCGUGGCAGAACAUCUGGACCCACUGUCCUUGCCAGAGAGGGCACAAGGGAUGGUUGGAUGGGUGAGGGAAUGGUUCAGGGAGUACAAGCACCAUUAGAAUGAGUAGGGCAGCACAUGGAAAGGAAGGGGGGAGUUAAUCCAGACAGAAUUCAAGCACCUGCCCAACCUGUGAUAGUUUUAGGAACUCAGAGGUGUUGUGGUCCCCAGGAAGUAUUGCCCAGGACUAGGCAGGAGACUUCAGGCUUGGUCACCCCCAGAGCAAGGUGGAAGCCCAGCAGUUUAUUGGUUGGUUUGGCUUUUGGUGACAACAAGGUCCUCCUUUGGGACCAAUCCUUGGCCUGGGCCAUAAAGUCCCAGGGCAGAAGUGUGAGUUUGAGUGGGAAAUGAGCAGCAGGGAGGGUUGGAAACAGCUCAGGGAGCAAUUCAACAGGCUCCAGACCUGUGGCAAAUACGAGCUCCAGAGGGGGAACUGAAGGUUCCUGCCAGUGCUAAUGAUGCCAAUUGGAGCCUCUGGCAGAAGUAGGGUAGGAAGGAAGUGCCCUUAGGAUUUGGGAAUAGGAAGUUACUGGAAGCCAG